CCCUUAGAUGUUCUGGGCCGCACGCGCGCUACAAUGAUGAAUUCAACGAGUUUAUAACCUUGGUUGAAAAGCCUGGGUAAUCUUUUGAACUUUCGUCGUGAUGGGGCUAGACCCUUGCAAUUAUUGGUCUCCAACGAGGAAUUCCUAGUAAACGCAAGUCAUCAGCUUGCAUUGAUUACGUCCCUGCCCUUUGUACACACCGCCCGUCGCACCUACCGAUUGAAUGGUCCGGUGAAAUCUUCGGAUUGCUGAUCAAAUUCCAGCAAUGGAGCUUGAUUGCGAGAAGUUGAUUAAACCUUAUUAUUUAGAGGAAGGAGAAGUCGUAACA
Molecule: ribosomal RNA, 328 nt
Filed under: uncultured eukaryote
Lineage: Eukaryota
Description: partial 18S ribosomal RNA
Rfam family: Eukaryotic small subunit ribosomal RNA
Source: RNAcentral